AAUGAACGUUGGCGGCGUGGAUUAGGCAUGCAAGUCGAGCGGUAAGGCUCCUUCGGGAGUACACGAGCGGCGAAAGGGAGAGUAACGCGUGGAUUAUCUACCCUGGGGUCCGGAAUAGCUGCGGGAAACUGCAGGUAAUGCCGGAUAAUAUCUACGGAUCAAAGGUGUGAUUCCGCCCUUGGAGGAGUCCGCGUCCUAUUAGCUUGUUGGUGGGGUAAUGGCCUACCAAGGCGACGAUGGGUACCGGGUGUGAGAGCAUGACCCGGCUCACUGGGACUGAGACACUGACCAGACACCUACGGGUGGCGGCAGUCGAGAAGCUUCGGCAAUGGGCGCAAGCCUGACCGAGCGAAGCCGCGUGUGGGAUGAAGGCCUUCGGGUUGUAAACCACUGUCGUAGAGGAGGAAAUGCAUUGGGGUUCUCCCCAGUGUUUGACCUAUUCUAGGAGGAAGGACGGGCUAAGUUCGUGCCAGCCGCCGCCGUAA
RNAcentral lists this ribosomal RNA (485 nucleotides) under uncultured bacterium. RNAcentral describes it as "partial 16S ribosomal RNA". It matches the Rfam family "Bacterial small subunit ribosomal RNA", at positions 28 to 523 of the family's 1533-position model. The record is from RNAcentral.